This 1115-nucleotide long non-coding RNA is filed under the name Daphnia pulicaria. RNAcentral's name for it is "uncharacterized LOC124325925, transcript variant X1". The record is from RNAcentral. Lineage: Eukaryota; Metazoa; Arthropoda; Branchiopoda; Diplostraca; Daphniidae.
UCAAUGUUUAAAUUACGCUAAUGAGACUGAAAUUUAGCUUUAGCUUUAAUUUUGUUCUUGAAGAAAUAGCGUUAAGUACAGUUAUUUUAAUUUUUAGAUAUCCAAGACGUUCUUGUUGGCACAGUGUUCACUCACCAUCCUGCAACUCAUUUAGCAGAAAUUACACAAAAAGAAAAGCAAUGAGUCCAGUACAGCGGUAGUGCCUACAUCUUCAGCCCAUACAAAAUUGCAUCACAAACUACAAAAAAUUUCCCGAGUUCGUCAAUUGUUGGAAGGAGGACAUUGUUAUUCAUUUUGAGAACAAUGCUCCAUUUCUUAGCGUUGCCAAUCUCCUUAAACACAUUGGGGUAAAAUUGCUGUUGAAGAGAAUUUGGAUGUUUAUCAUGGUGGAUCCAAGCUCAAAACCUCUUUUUCGGGAUUUGAAUACCAAAGAGAACAUUGUGGUUUCCAGCAUUUAGUCAUACAAAGUAAGAAAAACAAAGUAACACAAACGAAUGAUGCACUUGUUCGCAUUAUUCUCCCUGAAGGAGCAUCCAACAUUGAAAUCGAAACUCCGUAUGCAGUCACUCGAUUACAAGACACAUUGCAUUUUACUUACCUCAAUGUCAAGGGCCGCUCGGUCGUGGAAAAUGCUGCCAAGAACCUUGUGGAGAUCCACAUCCAACCUUUCAAGUACACGUUUCCUAGAAUCGUCAUGCUUCAAGAGCCAUUGUUAUUUUUUCCUCCUGUUCUUCACUUUCAUCAUCUAAUCCUCCAUCACCAAGGUUUGAAAUGAAAAAAACAUGGAAAACGCAACAUCCAUCCUAUUUCAUUGUUCACCCUUUACCUUGCUCGCUACUUUUUAUUGUAAACAGAUUUUUCAUGUGAUUGAUAUGCACGACAUGUUGUGUAGAUGGAUACCUUUGGUUUGAUAUCAACGCGUUUGAAGCGAGUGUACACAAACUUCUUUUAUUUUGUAUUUCGAUAUUUAAUUUUUUUUUUUUUUAUUUUCUUAUGUCGUUUUACGUCUCGCGUAUGUGUAUACUACCAUAUUCCCAGAUUUAUUCACGAAUCCGUACAUUCUGAAUGAUUUUAGAAGCAUUUUUCUGCGAGUUAAUAAAAAAAUUCAAAAUGAA